AAUCAACGCUGGCGGCGUGCCUCAGACAUGCAAGUCGAACGAUUAAGACUUCCUUCGGGAAGUGCAUAAAGUGGCGCACGGGUGAGUAACACGUAAGUAAUCUACCUUCGAGUGGGGAAUAACGUUCGGAAACGAACGCUAAUACCGCAUAAUGCAGCGGCAUCGCAAGAUGACAGUUGUUAAAGGAAUUUAUUUCGCUUGAAGAGGAGCUUGCGGCAGAUUAGCUAGUUGGUAAGGUAACGGCUUACCAAGGCUACGAUCUGUAUCCGGUCUAAGAGGACGGUCGGACACACUGACACUGAAUAACGGGUCAGACUCCUACGGGAGGCAGCAGUCGGGAAUUUUGGGCAAUGGGCGAAAGCCUGACCCAGCAACGCCGCGUGAAGGAUGAAGUAUUUCGGUAUGUAAAGCUCUUUUACCAGGGAUGAUAAUGACAGUACCUGGAGAAUAAGCUCCGGCUAAACUCCGUGCCAGCAGCCGCGGUAAU
This 487-nucleotide ribosomal RNA is filed under the name uncultured bacterium. Its description in RNAcentral is "bacterial SSU rRNA". It matches the Rfam family "Bacterial small subunit ribosomal RNA", at positions 32 to 524 of the family's 1533-position model. The record is from RNAcentral.